CCCAGACUCCUACGGGAGGCAGCAGUGGGGAAUAUUGCACAAUGGGGGGAACCCUGAUGCAGCGACGCCGCGUGGGUGAAGGAGUACUUCGGUACGUAAAGCCCUAUCAGCAGGAAAGAAAAUGACGGUACCUGACUAAGAAGCCCCGGCUAACUACGUGCCAGCAGCCGCGGUAAUACGUAGGGGGCAAGCGUUAUCCGGAUUUACUGGGUGUAAAGGGAGCGUAGACGGCAGUGCAAGUCCGGAGUGAAAGCCCGGGGCUCAACCCUGGGACUGCUCUGGAAACUGUAAAGCUGGAGUGCGGGAGGGGCAGGCGGAAUUCCUGGUGUAGCGGUGAAAUGCGUAGAUAUCAGGAGGAGCACCGGCGGCGAAGGCGGCCUGCUGGACCGUAACUGACGUUGAGGCUCGAAAGCGUGGGGAGCAAACAGGAUUAGAUACCCCCGUA
Molecule: ribosomal RNA, 445 nt
Filed under: uncultured bacterium
Lineage: Bacteria
Description: bacterial SSU rRNA
Rfam family: Bacterial small subunit ribosomal RNA
Source: RNAcentral